CGUGUAGGCGGGCGAUCAAGUCAGAUGUAAAAGGCGACGGCUUAACCGUAGUAUGUCAUCUGAUACUGGUUGUCUUGAGUUCGAGAGAGGGUGGUGGAAUUCCCGGUGUAGCGGUGAAAUGCGUAGAUAUCGGGAAGAACACCUGAAGCGAAGGCGGCCGCCUGGCUCGACACUGACGCUGAGGCGCGAAAGCGUGGGGAGCAAACA
Molecule: ribosomal RNA, 207 nt
Filed under: uncultured bacterium
Lineage: Bacteria
Description: partial 16S ribosomal RNA
Rfam family: Bacterial small subunit ribosomal RNA
Source: RNAcentral